Molecule: long non-coding RNA, 916 nt
Filed under: Malus domestica (apple)
Lineage: Eukaryota; Viridiplantae; Streptophyta; Magnoliopsida; Rosales; Rosaceae
Description: long non-coding RNA (MDOM_LNC010581)
Source: RNAcentral
AAUAUAUGAGUGAUCACACAACAAGCUCGUGCUACAUGAAAAGCAAAAAGAAAUCUAUAAUGGGCAAGCAUACAAAGACCUAAAAUCGAAAAUCACUAAAGGGCAUGAGUUCGAUUUCCUGAGGGAAAAUCGCACCCUCCCCUAUGAAAAGCAAAACCCUAAAAUCUCUCAGGUGCACAAGAUAGAGAAAAGGCAGAAGUAUGUUCAAAUUCACUAUCAAAACCGAUAGGAAAAAAGGAAAAUAUAGAAGAAGGGUGAAGCUUUCUUUACCUGAGAGAAUAUCUUAACGUCAAACAUAGCAGAGCACAAGCAUAAAGCACUGGGAAUCUAAAGUGCAAGGGGAGCUAAGCGAUAGAGGUAGAAGGAUGAAGCAAAGAAAUAUUGAAAAAGAAAAUUGAGUUAAAGAAGAAAAAGAAAGAGAAUGGACAAAUUAAUUACUUGUCCUAAAAGGGAUGAGUUAUCAAGGCAGUUGGUGAAGGAAUGCCUAGAAUCUCUUGGAUGAUUAGACGUGUACAAGAAACUAGGGCGCACAACUGUAGGAAGUUAUUGCUGCCACGCGUGAAGGCGAAAAGUCCCAUCAUAAAAGCUAUGUUUAAAAUAUUCAUUUGGGCCUGAUUUGAUUGCUUAGCUCAUUUAAGAUUUCUCAUAGGCCAAACAAUCAAAGGGGCUAAUGUUAAGGCCCAAAAAAUAUCAUGAGCAAGCCUAACCGAGUCUCAAAACCCAAUAGUCACGCGAAUCCCAAGCGAAGCCUAAAUACAUGCAAAGAUGCAGGAUCAAGGAAGGAAUAUAUUCACAACUGUUGUAACCAAAUCUGCGCACCUCCGUGAGGGGCAAUUGGGCAUAAAUCUAGUAAAUCUGAGCAACCUUCAAAACAAAAAAACUAUGUUAGCAAGCCAUAGGGGGUGUGUCGGCCAAA